Molecule: long non-coding RNA, 961 nt
Organism: Beta vulgaris subsp. vulgaris (sugar beet)
Lineage: Eukaryota; Viridiplantae; Streptophyta; Magnoliopsida; Caryophyllales; Amaranthaceae
Exons: 2
Source: RefSeq, a predicted model, not a curated record
CGGAUCAUAAAUAUUAACCGUUGGAUACAUGUCUAAAACAAAAUAAACCGUUAGAUCGUCUCCUACCCUAUUACCUUCUCCCAUCUCUCCUCCAAACUGCCAAACCUAAAAAUUCUAUUCAUGCGCUGCUCCUUCCAUUUCUCUGUGCUGAUCCUUUCCUAUCUCUUCUACUUCCAUUCAUUCAAAACCCUUUUCAUCCAGAUUCUCAAUUCUCCUUCAACUCAAUCUUCCUUUUUUUUUCCCCUUCCAAAAUUACAUUUUUCUUAGUAUACAAAUCAACCCUUCUUCCUAAAUCCUACAUGUAACAUGGCCUUGAAAACUUGAAAUAUACAAAGUAAUACUCUACCACCCUCCUCUAGAUGUAGCGAAAAACGAAGAACUGGGAUUAAUUAAUUGUUGUAAUUUUGUCGUGCGCAAAAACAACACCACGAAGAAAGAGAGCAUUUCGUUCGUCCGUUCAUCAGCGGUGGUUCCUCGGUUCCUCGGUUCGUUCGUUCUUUUAUGGUGGUGGUGGUUCCUUGUGUCGGUCGUUUGAAGGUUUAGAUUAAUUUUAUUUUUUUUAGUUUUUCGUUUUAGAUAUUUACUUCAUGAAUGUUCAUGGUUAAUUUUCUUUUUUUCUUUCUCUUUACUCUUCUUUUCUUCUUUUAGUAUAAUUAAGUUUUCCAGAUUUGAAUAAUAUUGAUGAAGAAGGAAUAAAUGGAAUUAGUUGAGUGAUUGUAACUUUUGUCUUCAGUAUCCAGAAGUUUGGGAAGUUUGAAGUUUUGGGAAGUUUGAAGUUUGGUGACGCUGAAAUAACCAAAUCAAUGUACAGAUUUAAGAGUUAAAGUGUUAUUAUUUUUUAUUGUAAUUAUUUUUUUGUAACUUUUAGAUCUAAUUUAUCAUUUUCUGUAAUGAGCGAAUGUAAUUACUAAGGAUUUUGAUUUUAGAUCUACCCAUGUUUAACUGAAAAUUUUGAAUUUGA